Molecule: ribosomal RNA, 253 nt
Filed under: uncultured bacterium
Lineage: Bacteria
Description: partial 16S ribosomal RNA
Rfam family: Bacterial small subunit ribosomal RNA
Source: RNAcentral
UACGUAGGGUGCAAGCGUUGUCCGGAAUUAUUGGGCGUAAAGAGCUCGUAGGCGGUUCGUCGCGUCGGCUGUGAAAUCCCGAGGCUCAACCUCGGGUCUGCAGUCGAUACGGGCGGACUGGAGUACUGCAGGGGAGACUGGAAUUCCUGGUGUAGCGGUGAAAUGCGCAGAUAUCUGGAGGAACACCAGUGGCGAAGGCGGCUUCCUGGCCUGUAACUGACGCUGAGACGCGAAAGCGUGGGGAGCGAACCGG